CAGCUAGCUUAUCCACUAAUAUAAAUAAACAAUAUAAAUAAAAUAAAAUAGACCAAACGCCAAAAACUAAACCAUUCUUUUACCUGAGUAUGGGAGACAGAAAAGGUUCAACCAAAGCAAUAGAAAAAGUACCGCAAGGGAAAGCUGAAAGAGAAGUGAAACAAUCCAUAUAAGUAUUAAAAAGCAAAGACUAAACCUUGUACCUUUUGCAUCAUGAUUUAGCCAGUAAACACAAGCAAAGAGACCUUUAGUUUGAAACCCCGAAACCAGGUGAGCUACCCCGAGACAGCCUAUUAAGGGCCAACCCGUCUCUGUGGCAAAAGAGUGGGAAGAGCUCCGGGUAGAAGUGAUAGACCUACCGAACCUGGUGAUAGCUGGUUGCCUAAGAAAUGAAUAGAAGUUCAGCCUCGUGCCCCUCAAGUCAAACAAGCACUAACCAAGAUAUUAAGAGAAAAACACGAGAGUUAGUUAAAGGGGGUACAGCCCCUUUAACAAAGGAUACAACCUUAUACAGGAGGAUAAAGAUCAUAAUAUAUAAAACAUACUGUUCUAGUGGGCCUAAAAGCAGCCACCUAAACAGAAAGCGUUAAAGCUCAGACAGAAGAAAGUUUAUUAUUCUGAUAAAAAAUCUUACUCCCCUAAAUACUAUUAGGCUAAUCCAUGCCCUCAUGGAAGAAAUUAUGCUAAAAUGAGUAACAAGAAGGCCCGCCCUUCUCCUAGCACAAGUGUAAGCCAAACCGGACCAACCAUUGGCAACUAACGAACUCAACCCAAGAGAGCAAUGUGAGCCAUAAAAAGAACAAGAAAACCCCACAACUCAAUAAUCGUUAACCCCACACUGGAGUGCUAUUAAAGGAAAGACUAAAAGAAAAGGAAGGAACUCGGCAAACACAAGCCUCGCCUGUUUACCAAAAACAUCGCCUCCUGCAACACAGCCAUGUAUAGGAGGUCCAGCCUGCCCAGUGACUACAAGUUCAACGGCCGCGGUAUUUUGACCGUGCAAAGGUAGCGCAAUCACUUGUCUUUUAAAUAGAGACCUGUAUGAAUGGCUAAACGAGGGCUUAACUGUCUCCCCUUUCAAGUCAGUGAAAUUGAUCUGCCCGUGCAGAAGCG
This 1113-nucleotide ribosomal RNA is filed under the name Hongshuia microstomata. RNAcentral describes it as "partial 16S ribosomal RNA". It matches the Rfam family "Bacterial large subunit ribosomal RNA", at positions 163 to 2063 of the family's 2925-position model. The record is from RNAcentral. Lineage: Eukaryota; Metazoa; Chordata; Actinopteri; Cypriniformes; Cyprinidae.